UAGGGAAUAUUGCGCAAUGGACGCAAGUCUGACGCAGCGACGCCGCGUGGGUGAUGAAGGCCUUCGGGUCGUAAAGCCCUGUCGAAAGGGAAGAAACACGGGAUGGCUAAUAUCCAUUCCGCUUGACGGUACCUUUAAAGGAAGCACCGGCUAACUACGUGCCAGCAGCCGCGGUAAUACGUAGGGUGCUAGCGUUGUUCGGAAUCAUUGGGCGUAAAGCGCGUGUAGGUGGUUAGUAAAGUUGGGUGUGAAAUCCCUCGGCUCAACCGAGGAAGGGCACUCAAAACUAACUAGCUUGAGAGUGGUAGAGGAAGGUGGAAUUCCUAGUGUAGAGGUGAAAUUCGUAGAUAUUAGGAGGAAUACCGGAGGCGAAGGCGGCCUUCUGGACCAUUUCUGACACUGAGACGCGAAAGCGUGGGUAGCAAACAGG
This 430-nucleotide ribosomal RNA is filed under the name uncultured bacterium. Its description in RNAcentral is "bacterial SSU rRNA". It matches the Rfam family "Bacterial small subunit ribosomal RNA", at positions 355 to 776 of the family's 1533-position model. The record is from RNAcentral.